UCGAACGAUGAUCCGGUGCUUGCACCGGGGAUUAGUGGCGAACGGGUGAGUAACACGUGAGUAACCUGCCCUUGACUCUGGGAUAAGCCUGGGAAACUGGGUCUAAUACCGGAUAUGACUCCUCAUCGCAUGGUGGGGGGUGGAAAGCUUUUGUGGUUUUGGAUGGACUCGCGGCCUAUCAGCUUGUUGGUGAGGUAAUGGCUCACCAAGGCGACGACGGGUAGCCGGCCUGAGAGGGUGACCGGCCACACUGGGACUGAGACACGGCCCAGACUCCUACGGGAGGCAGCAGUGGGGAAUAUUGCACAAUGGGCGCAAGCCUGAUGCAGCGACGCCGCGUGAGGGAUGACGGCCUUCGGGUUGUAAACCUCUUUCAGUAGGGAAGAAGCGAAAGUGACGGUACCUGCAGAAGAAGCGCCGGCUAACUACGUGCCAGCAGCCGCGGUAAUACGUAGGGCGCAAGCGUUAUCCGGAAUUAUUGGGCGUAAAGAGCUCGUAGGCGGUUUGUCGCGUCUGCCGUGAAAGUCCGGGGCUCAACUCCGGAUCUGCGGUGGGUACGGGCAGGCUAGAGUGAUGUAGGGGAGACUGGAAUUCCUGGUGUAGCGGUGAAAUGCGCAGAUAUCAGGAGGAACACCGAUGGCGAAGGCAGGUCUCUGGGCAUUAACUGACGCUGAGGAGCGAAAGCAUGGGGAGCGAACAUGAUUAGAUACCCUGGUAGUCCAUGCCGUAAACGUUGGGCACUAGGUGUGGGGGACAUUCCACGUUUUCCGCGCCGUAGCUAACGCAUUAAGUGCCCCGCCCUGGGGAGUACGGCCGCAAGGCUAACCCUCAAGGAAUUGACGGGGGCCCG
This 850-nucleotide ribosomal RNA is filed under the name Arthrobacter globiformis. RNAcentral's name for it is "bacterial SSU rRNA". It matches the Rfam family "Bacterial small subunit ribosomal RNA", at positions 62 to 923 of the family's 1533-position model. The record is from RNAcentral. Lineage: Bacteria; Bacillati; Actinomycetota; Actinomycetes; Micrococcales; Micrococcaceae.